RNAcentral lists this ribosomal RNA (253 nucleotides) under uncultured bacterium. RNAcentral's name for it is "partial 16S ribosomal RNA". It matches the Rfam family "Bacterial small subunit ribosomal RNA", at positions 524 to 776 of the family's 1533-position model. The record is from RNAcentral.
UACGUAGGGUGCGAGCGUUGUCCGGAAUUAUUGGGCGUAAAGAGCGCGUAGGCGGCCGAGUAAGUCCGACGUGAAAUCUGGAGGCUCAACCUCCAGCGGUCGUUGGAAACUACUCGGCUAGAGUCCGGAAGAGGAGAGUGGAAUUCCCGGUGUAGCGGUGAAAUGCGCAGAUAUCGGGAAGAACACCCGUGGCGAAGGCGGUUCUCUGGGACGGUACUGACGCUGAGACGCGAAAGCGUGGGGAGCAAACAGG